GAGGGUAUAGCUCAGAGGUAGAACACAUGCUUAGCAUGCAUGGGGUCCUGGGUUCCAUCCCCAGUACCUCCA
This 72-nucleotide transfer RNA is filed under the name Camelus bactrianus (Bactrian camel). It matches the Rfam family "tRNA". Rfam says of the family: Transfer RNA (tRNA) molecules are approximately 80 nucleotides in length. Their secondary structure includes four short double-helical elements and three loops (D, anti-codon, and T loops). RNAcentral also lists the same sequence under 2 other names. The record is from Rfam by way of RNAcentral. Lineage: Eukaryota; Metazoa; Chordata; Mammalia; Artiodactyla; Camelidae.